UAGUAUCAUCGCCAGGCUGGUGCCAUUUAGCGGUAUAGAUGGCUGAAAAGGGAAUCUGGUGCGAAUCCAGAACUGACGCGCAGCGGUAAAAGAGAACGAACCUCCAUAGGACACUGUUUUUGUGGCGAAAACGGGAAGUCGGAGUAGUAGGUGGUGAAAGCCUAGCUCUUGAGUCCGAAGACCUGCCAGCGGCCUGGUCGGCAU
This 204-nucleotide non-coding RNA is filed under the name Vibrio proteolyticus. Lineage: Bacteria; Pseudomonadati; Pseudomonadota; Gammaproteobacteria; Vibrionales; Vibrionaceae. RNAcentral also lists the same sequence under 1 other name. The record is from RNAcentral.